RNAcentral lists this ribosomal RNA (497 nucleotides) under uncultured bacterium. RNAcentral describes it as "partial 16S ribosomal RNA". It matches the Rfam family "Bacterial small subunit ribosomal RNA", at positions 28 to 507 of the family's 1533-position model. The record is from RNAcentral.
GAUGAACGCUGGCGGCGUGCCUAAUACAUGCAAGUCGAGCGAACGGACGAGAAGCUUGCUUCUCUGAUGUUAGCGGCGGACGGGUGAGUAACACGUGGAUAACCUACCUAUAAGACUGGGAUAACUUCGGGAAACCGUAGCUAAUACCGGCUAAUAUUUUGAACUGCAUGGUUCAACAGUGAAAGACGGUCUUGCUGUCACUUAUAGAUGGAUCCGCGCUGCAUUAGCUAGUUGGUAAGGUAACGGCUUACCAAGGCAACGAUGCAUAGCCGACCUGAGAGGGUGAUCGGCCACACUAGAACUGAGACACGGUCCAGACUCCUACGGGAGGCAGCAGUAGGGAAUCGUCCGCAAUGGGCGAAAGCCUGACGGAGCAACGCCGCGUGAGUGAGGACGGUCUUCGGAUCGUAAAACUCUGUUAUUAGGUAAGAACAUAUGUGUAAGUAACAGUGCACAUCUGGACGGUACCUAAGCAGAAAGCCACGGCUAGCUACGUG